This 1339-nucleotide unclassified non-coding RNA is filed under the name Hevea brasiliensis (rubber tree). The record is from RNAcentral. Lineage: Eukaryota; Viridiplantae; Streptophyta; Magnoliopsida; Malpighiales; Euphorbiaceae.
UAAUGUUACAACUAGAUAAGUUCAAAAACAGUUGUCAAAAUUUAUCCUAAAUACAUAAAUGAUGAACAUUACCAUAAGAAUGUGGCGUACACAGACAUUGAAUAGGUAAUGAAAUUUCCCAUUAUUCUUUUUCCUCCUUUUUUCGGGAAGCAGAAUCUAUCAAUAGAUUUAACCUUUCAUUUUGCUUUACCUUUUUAGGAGGUGAGGUUGUAGAAAGAAACAUAAACAUAGAUUUCAACAAUGGUUGUUAAAGGACAGGAAUUAUGUACUGAAUUUUUGGCCUACCACUACAUUGAAGUAUAGUUAUUUGAGAAUUACAAGUACAAGCAUUGUCCUUUUUCAUUACAACAAUAGUUCCAGCCAUUACAAAGGAUCUACCCUCUUUUCUACACCUGGCCCAAUUCAGGGUUCGAGUGAAACCUAAAAUGGGCCCAAAUCAACAGUUCAGGGGCCUGAACCAGAACCGGACCGACUAUGAGGGGGCUGCCUUCAGUCCACCCCCCCAGGCCCUGAAUUGAAACCGGACUGGAAUCGGCUGUUUGAACUGCCAGUUCCGACUUAAUUCAAACCAUUUAAAAAAAAAAGAGGUGGCAGCUUUAGAGGGCUCCACAUGGACCAAUCUGUUUUUGAACCAGAACUGAAAUUGCCAAAAAUAAAAAUCGGAACCAGCUGGAACCAGACUGGUUUGGUCCGAUUCACUCCCUGCCUAGGACCUGAACCAUCGAUUCUGGGCAGAUAAGACGGUGGCCAGACCAGCUCUUUUCUGCAAGCUAAUUUUCAUUGAAAAAAGUCCAGCCUGGUGCUGCUUGUGACAAUUACAUUUUGGCCACAGCACUCCACUACCACAAUUUUAAACCUUGAAAUCAAUGGAUAUCCCACACCCUUAGUGCACAUGAGAAAUAUACGAAUCAUAGUAUAAAACUGCGACGAAGAACACCUCUAGAAGAACAUAAUCUUUCUCAGAGAAAACAGAAUUAAAUAACACUAGAAAUCCAUGUAUAUCCAUAUCCUGUGCGCACAGGAAAAAAUAUGAAUCAUUGUAUAAAAUUGCACAGGAAAACACCUCUAAAAAAAAUAUAAUCUUUCUCAGACAAAAUGAUAGAGAAACAAUCCAAGGCCCGAGAAACAAGCCCACAAAAGACAACAAUUGCUGGAGAGUUUAUUCUAGAAGAGCUAAGAAGGGAGGAAAAGAUCAGGGAAUCAAAUCAUUGCAGCUGGUUGUAAUGCAGCAGGAAGAAGAAAUGUAUUUUGUUCAAGAUUUUAUCGCAAAUAAGGACAUAUAUGAGACUAGAGUAUAAAAUUGCAAUAGUAUGCUUGUAAAGGAGUUAUUCUAGCCAUU